Molecule: non-coding RNA, 29 nt
Filed under: Mus musculus (house mouse)
Lineage: Eukaryota; Metazoa; Chordata; Mammalia; Rodentia; Muridae
Source: RNAcentral
UGAUCUGUUGGGGAUUUGCUGCCUGGAUA